GAUCUCGUAGCUCAGUUGGUAGAGCACAUCACUUUUAAUGAUGGGGUCUUGGGUUCGAGUCCCAACGGGAUCACAA
Molecule: transfer RNA, 76 nt
Filed under: Chitinophagia bacterium
Lineage: Bacteria; Pseudomonadati; Bacteroidota; Chitinophagia
Description: tRNA-Lys
Rfam family: tRNA
About the family: Transfer RNA (tRNA) molecules are approximately 80 nucleotides in length. Their secondary structure includes four short double-helical elements and three loops (D, anti-codon, and T loops).
Source: RNAcentral